RNAcentral lists this ribosomal RNA (253 nucleotides) under uncultured bacterium. RNAcentral's name for it is "partial 16S ribosomal RNA". It matches the Rfam family "Bacterial small subunit ribosomal RNA", at positions 524 to 776 of the family's 1533-position model. The record is from RNAcentral.
UACGUAGGAUGCAAGCGUUGUCCGGAUUUAUUGGGUUUAAAGGGUUCGUAGGCGGCCUAUUAAGUUAGUGGUGAAAACGUUCGGCUUAACCGGAUACCCGCCAUUGAUACUGAUAGACUUGAGUGCGACAGAGGGUGUUGGAAUGUGUGGUGUAGCGGUGAAAUGCUUAGAUAUCACGCAGAACACCAAUUGCGAAGGCAGAUGCCUAUGUCGUAACUGACGCUGAGGCACGAAAGCGUGGGUAGCGAACAGG